GAUGAACGCUGGCGGCGUGCCUAAUACAUGCAAGUAGAACGCUGAAGGAGGAGCUUGCUCUUCUGGAUGAGUUGCGAACGGGUGAGUAACGCGUAGGUAACCUGCCUGGUAGCGGGGGAUAACUAUUGGAAACGAUAGCUAAUACCGCAUGACAACAGUUAUUGCAUGAUAACUGUUUAAAAGGGGCAACUGCUCCACUACCAGAUGGACCUGCGUUGUAUUAGCUAGUUGGUGAGGUAACGGCUCACCAAGGCGACGAUACAUAGCCGACCUGAGAGGGGGGUCGGCCACCCUGGGACUGAGACACGGCCCAGACUCCUUCGGGAGGCAGCAGUAGGGGAUCUUCGGCAAUGGACGGAAGUCUGACCGAGCAACGCCGCGGGAGGGGAGAAGGUUUUCGGAUCGUAAAGCUCGUUUGUUAGAGAAGAACGAGUGGUAGAGUUGAAAGUUCACACUGUGACGGUAUCUUACCAGAAAGGGACGGCUAACUACGUG
Molecule: ribosomal RNA, 495 nt
Filed under: uncultured bacterium
Lineage: Bacteria
Description: partial 16S ribosomal RNA
Rfam family: Bacterial small subunit ribosomal RNA
Source: RNAcentral